RNAcentral lists this ribosomal RNA (575 nucleotides) under uncultured bacterium. RNAcentral's name for it is "bacterial SSU rRNA". It matches the Rfam family "Bacterial small subunit ribosomal RNA", at positions 642 to 1214 of the family's 1533-position model. The record is from RNAcentral.
UAGAGUUUUGUAGAGGGUGGUAGAAUUUCCAGUGUAGCGGUGAAAUGCGUAGAGAUUUGGAAGGAAUACCAGUGGCGAAGGCGGCCACCUGGACCAGAGACUGACACUGAGGCGCGAAGGCGUGGGGAGCAAACGGGAUUAGAUACCCCGGUAGUCCACGCAGUAAACGAUGUCUAUUAGAAGUUUGCGGCCUUGUGCUGUGGGUUUCAAAGCUAACGCAUUAAAUAGACCGCCUGGGGAGUACGGCCGCAAGGUUAAAACUCAAAUGAAUUGACGGGGGCCCGCACAAGCGGUGGAGCAUGUGGUUUAAUUCGAUGCAACGCGAAGAACCUUACCAUCCCUUGACAUCCAGUGAAGUUACUAGAGAUAGUUUCGUGCCUUCGGGAGCACUGAGACAGGUGCUGCAUGGCUGUCGUCAGCUCGUGUUGUGAAAUGUUGGGUUAAGUCCCGCAACGAGCGCAACCCUUAUCCUUAGUUGCCAGCACGUAAUGGUGGGAACUCUAGGGAGACUGCCGGUGAUAAACCGGAGGAAGGUGGGGACGACGUCAAGUCAUCAUGGCCCUUACGGGAUGGGC